This 468-nucleotide ribosomal RNA is filed under the name uncultured bacterium. RNAcentral's name for it is "partial 16S ribosomal RNA". It matches the Rfam family "Bacterial small subunit ribosomal RNA", at positions 28 to 507 of the family's 1533-position model. The record is from RNAcentral.
GACGAACGCUGGCGGCGUGCUUAACACAUGCAAGUCGAACGGAAAGGCCCUGCUUUUGUGGGGUGCUCGAGUGGCGAACGGGUGAGUAACACGUGAGUAACCUGCCCUUGACUUUGUGAUAACUUCAGGAAACUGGGGCUAAUACCGGAUAGGAGCUCCUGCUGCAUGGUGGGGGUUGGAAAGUUUCGGCGGUUGGGGAUGGACUCGCGGCUUAUCAGCUUGUUGGUGGGGUAGUGGCUUACCAAGGCUUUGACGGGUAGCCGGCCUGAGAGGGUGAACGGCCACAUUGGGACUGAGGUACGGACCAGACUGCAACGGGAGGCAGCAGUGGGGAAUAUUGCACAAUGGGCGGAAGCGUGAUGAAGCAACGCCGCGUGCGUGAUGACGGCCUUCGGGUUGUAAACCGCUUUCGCCUGUGACGAAGCGUGAGUGACGGUAAUGGGUAAAGAAGCACCGGCUAACUACGUG